UCCAGUAAGCUUUCACCAGCCACUCCAAUAACUCCGAUAGGCAUCCCUCCUCCUGCUAUCAGCUCUUCAGCAUCUUUCCAGACAACAAGCUCAGAUUUUCAGUAGGAUCUCGAGGGACCCAGCCUCACUGGAACAAGAAGAAGGCUUCAUUUCCAGGCUGAGCCAACGCAACACAGGGUGUAGUCAGAGCUGGAAGACAUCGCACCUACUGCAGCACACUUAAAUGACAAGCCUAAGUCAUCGAGCCAUAUUGCCCCCCACCCUCUGCUGUAUAGAAGAUGCGUGCAAUCCCCAUGAUAGGCGACUUUCUUUGAUGUCUAUUUUCACGCCGCAACUGCGCAACAUUCCUGCUUGCUUGAUUAUUUGUUUUCUUUCCUUUGCUUAAACUACCAGUGCUAACUGUUUGGUCAUUAGCUGAGAUGCGCUUCCAUUGCAUUCUUCACGUGUUUUGUCUUUA
This is a long non-coding RNA of Populus euphratica (Euphrates poplar), 457 nucleotides long. RefSeq lists it as uncharacterized. The record is from RefSeq and is a predicted model, not a curated record. The transcript is spliced from 2 exons. NCBI's taxonomy places the organism in Eukaryota, Viridiplantae, Streptophyta, Magnoliopsida, Malpighiales, Salicaceae.